GCUAGGAAAAAAAAACAAAACAGUAACAGCCCCUGGUUAUAAACAUUAUUUGAAAAUGGGUCAAUUUUGUCUAUUUCAAUUUUGGCAAACAUUAUUGAAUGUCCAUUAUGUGUGAGGCUAUGGAGGAUGAUGGGAAAGUGCCUGAUAUCUAGAGUGGAAAGAGGCAUGGACCCCGAAACCCCAAAACCUAAGACAUACAAUUUUAAGUGGCAAAAAUGAAACCUAAGCAGAGUGUUACGGGAAAGGCUUCACAGUGAUAGUAACUGUCCCCUGAGCCUUAAAGGAUAGGGGUAGGGCUAGAAAGUGUUCCAUACUGGAAUUCAUGUGCCAUGUACCAGAGAUACAAUUAUGGCUGGCAUGUAAAUUAUCACAGGCUUCUAAAAGGGACAAAUUAUCAUCAUAAUGAGUUUGGGUUUCUGUAGGAAAUGUGAUCCAGUGAAGGUGCAGAAGAAUGAAAUGAGACAGUUAAGUGGCAGCAGUAUGUACAAUACAUUCCUGAGAUGAGGGACACUAGAUAGGAAGUGGUUUGAAGUGUCUGGGUGGGAGAUGAUCAGGUUCUGAAUUAGAGCAGUGGAGGUGGAAAGGGGGUAGAUUGGAGAGAUGCUAGAGAGGUUAACACACAGGGAAAACAGGGAGAACUCCUGUCCUUUGCUCAUCAUGAUUCUCUAGACCUGUGCUGUCCAGUACAACAGCCAGACACACAUACUAUUUAGCAUUUAAAAUGUGGCUCAUCCAAAUUGAGAUGUGCUGUAAAUAUAAGAUUUCUAUAUUUUCUAUAUAAGAUUCUAGAAAAAAAUAGAUUUCUAGACUUAGUAUGAAAAAUAAAAUAUAAAAAUCUCAAUAAUUGAUACAGAUUACAUAUAGAAAUUAUAUUUUAGAUAUACUGGGUUAAAUUAAUUAUUUAAAUGAAUUUUUUCUUUUUAAAUGCAGUCAUCAGAAAACAUAGAAUUGCAUAUUCAUUUGCAUUACUGGAGAGUGCUGCUCUAAGAAGAAACCCACAGGGAAGAAGCCCAGAAGAGAGGCAGUUUUGUCAUGAACACUUUGAACCCUUCUUUCUACACCUGUAUUCCUACUUGAGGAAGUCAAGGAGACAACUGGCCCCAUAAAUACCCUGGCACUUGUAGACACGUGCCUCCAGCUGAGUGUCUUAUAGCUCUUCAGUAAGCAGUGUUACACAGCACAUCAUCAUCAUCUAUACAUUCCAGAUCCCAGGAGACUCUAAUAUUGAGCUUGGGAAGGAAAACAAGUAAGUAUCUGGAACGUGGCAACAACAUAUAAUUUUCUUGGGUUCUAGACAUAUUAAAAUUUUUUACUCAAACUCAGAAAAAGCUAGAAGGGCUUGGAAGGACAAGAAUAACAAAACUUUUCAGAGAUUAUAAAUUAAACAUUGUAAUAAAUCAAAUUUUACAAAUGUUCUAAAUGAUACUUUUAUAAUUAAGUAAUUUUAGGCACCAGAAGAAAAGUCACUUCAAAGUCUGUUAAUGGUACCAGUUGCUAUUAAAUCAUGAAGUUAAUACUGACUUAAGAUACCCCAUAGUUAACCCAUGGUAAUAGCCAUUUAUGUUUGUGACUGGUAAGUAGGUAGAUAUACUUAGAGGUUAAUGUGAGGUUUUUUUUAACUUUUAUUUUAGAUUUAUGAUGGUGUGAGUUUUUAAAAUCAAAGAUCACGUCAUAAAAAUAUAGGGUGUGCAUUUUAAGUCUUUAAUGAAAUUUUUAACAUUUGAAUAAAGGGAAAAAUAAAAUUGCUUUCUUACCUUCAUUGAA
Molecule: long non-coding RNA, 1764 nt
Organism: Pan troglodytes (chimpanzee)
Lineage: Eukaryota; Metazoa; Chordata; Mammalia; Primates; Hominidae
Exons: 2
Source: RefSeq, a predicted model, not a curated record